CUCUUGGGUUGUAAACCUCUUUUGUCAGGGAAGAAGAUCUGACGGUACCUGACGAAUCAGCAUCGGCUAACUCCGUGCCAGCAGCCGCGGUAAUACGGAGGAUGCAAGCGUUAUCCGGAAUUAUUGGGCGUAAAGCGUCCGCAGGUGGUUCAUCAAGUCUGCUGUCAAAGCGUGGAGCUUAACUCCAUAUCGGCGGUGGAAACUGAUGAACUAGAGUUCGGUAGGGGUCACGGGAAUUCCCAGUGUAGCGGUGAAAUGCGUAGAUAUUGGGAAGAACACCAGCGGCGAAAGCGCGUGACUGGACCGGUACUGACACUCAUGGACGAAAGCUAGGGGAGCGAAAGGGAUUAGAUACCCCUGUAGUCCUAGCCGUAAACGAUGGGUACUAGGUGUUGCCCGUAUCGACCCGGGCAGUGCCGUAGCUAACGCGUUAAGUACCCCGCCUGGGGAGUACGCACGCAAGUGUGAAACUCAAAGGAAUUGACGGGGGCCCGCACAAGCGGUGGAGUAUGUGGUUUAAUUCGAUGCAACGCGAAGAACCUUACCAGGGUUUGACAUGUCGCGAAUCUCUUGGAAACGAGAGAGUGCCUUCGGGAGCGCGAACACAGGUGGUGCAUGGCUGUCGUCAGCUCGUGUCGUGAGAUGUUGGGUUAAGUCCCGCAACGAGCGCAACCCUCGUCGUUAGUUGCCAGCAUUUAGUUGGGCACUCUAGCGAGACUGCCGGUGACAAACCGGAGGAAGGUGGGGAUGACGUCAAGUCAGCAUGCCCCUUACAUCCUGGGCUACACACGUACUACAAUGCUGUGGACAAAGAGUUGCCAGCCCGCGAGGGUGAGCUAAUCUCGUAAACCACGGCUCAGUUCAGAUUGCAGGCUGCAACUCGCCUGCAUGAAGGAGGAAUCGCUAGUAAUCGCAGGUCAGCAUACUGCGGUGAAUACGUUCCCGGGCCUUGUACACACCGCCCGUCACACCAUGGGAGUUGGCCACGCCCGAAGUCGUUACUCCAACCGCUUGCGGAGGAGGACGCCGAAGGCAGGGCUGAUGACUGGGGUGAAGUCGUAACAAGGUAGCCGUACCGGAAGGUGUGGCUGGAUCACCUCCUUUU
Molecule: ribosomal RNA, 1105 nt
Filed under: Leptolyngbya sp. 5GO
Lineage: Bacteria; Bacillati; Cyanobacteriota; Cyanophyceae; Leptolyngbyales; Leptolyngbyaceae
Description: bacterial SSU rRNA
Rfam family: Bacterial small subunit ribosomal RNA
Source: RNAcentral